GAUGAACGCUGGCGGCGUGCCUAACACAUGCAAGUCGAGCGAUUCUCUUCGGAGAAGAGCGGCGGACGGGUGAGUAACGCGUGGGUAACCUGCCCUGUACACACGGAUAACAUACCGAAAGGUAUGCUAAUACGAGAUAAUAUGCUUUUAUCGCAUGGUAGAAGUAUCAAAGCUCCGGCGGUACAGGAUGGACCCGCGUCUGAUUAGCUAGUUGGUAAGGUAACGGCUUACCAAGGCGACGAUCAGUAGCCGACCUGAGAGGGUGAUCGGCCACAUUGGAACUGAGACACGGUCCAAACUCCUACGGGAGGCAGCAGUGGGGAAUAUUGCACAAUGGGCGAAAGCCUGAUGCAGCAACGCCGCGUGAGCGAUGAAGGCCUUCGGGUCGUAAAGCUCUGUCCUCAAGGAAGAUAAUGACGGUACUUGAGGAGG
This 432-nucleotide ribosomal RNA is filed under the name uncultured bacterium. Its description in RNAcentral is "bacterial SSU rRNA". It matches the Rfam family "Bacterial small subunit ribosomal RNA", at positions 28 to 487 of the family's 1533-position model. The record is from RNAcentral.